This 824-nucleotide ribosomal RNA is filed under the name uncultured bacterium. RNAcentral's name for it is "bacterial SSU rRNA". It matches the Rfam family "Bacterial small subunit ribosomal RNA", at positions 54 to 875 of the family's 1533-position model. The record is from RNAcentral.
CAUGCAGUUCGAACGGCAGCACGGGCUUCGGCCUGGUGGCGAGUGGCGAACGGGUGAGUAAUACAUCGGAACGUACCCAGAAGUGGGGGAUAACGCAGCGAAAGUUGCGCUAAUACCGCAUACGUUCUACGGAAGAAAGUGGGGGAUCUUCGGACCUCAUGCUUUUGGAGCGGCCGAUGUCUGAUUAGCUAGUUGGUAGGGUAAAGGCCUACCAAGGCGACGAUCAGUAGCUGGUCUGAGAGGACGACCAGCCACACUGGAACUGAGACACGGUCCAGACUCCUACGGGAGGCAGCAGUGGGGAAUUUUGGACAAUGGGCGCAAGCCUGAUCCAGCAAUGCCGCGUGAGUGAAGAAGGCCUUCGGGUUGUAAAGCUCUUUUGUCAGGGAAGAAACGGUUGGGGCUAAUAUCCCCGGCUAAUGACGGUACCUGAAGAAUAAGCACCGGCUAACUACGUGCCAGCAGCCGCGGUAAUACGUAGGGUGCAAGCGUUAAUCGGAAUUACUGGGCGUAAAGCGUGCGCAGGCGGUUUUGUAAGUCUGUCGUGAAAGCCCCGGGCUCAACCUGGGAAUUGCGAUGGAGACUGCAAGGCUUGAAUCUGGCAGAGGGGGGUAGAAUUCCACGUGUAGCAGUGAAAUGCGUAGAGAUGUGGAGGAACACCGAUGGCGAAGGCAGCCCCCUGGGUCAAGAUUGACGCUCAUGCACGAAAGCGUGGGGAGCAAACAGGAUUAGAUACCCUGGUGGUCCACGCCCUAAACGAUGUCUACUAUUGUCGGGUUUUAAUUAACUUGGUAACGCAGCUAACGCGUGAAGUAGACCGCCUG